UACGAAGGGGGCUAGCGUUGUUCGGAAUUACUGGGCGUAAAGGGCUCGUAGGUGGCCAACUAAGUCAGACGUGAAAUCCCUCGGCUUAACCGGGGAACUGCGUCUGAUACUGGAUGGCUUGAGUUUGGGAGAGGGACGCGGAAUUCCAGGUGUAGCGGUGAAAUGCGUAGAUAUCUGGAGGAACACCGGUGGCGAAGGCGGCGUCCUGGACCAACACUGACACUGAUGAGCGAAAGCCAGGGGAGCAAACGGG
This 253-nucleotide ribosomal RNA is filed under the name uncultured bacterium. RNAcentral's name for it is "partial 16S ribosomal RNA". It matches the Rfam family "Bacterial small subunit ribosomal RNA", at positions 524 to 776 of the family's 1533-position model. The record is from RNAcentral.